Molecule: ribosomal RNA, 841 nt
Filed under: Staphylococcus aureus
Lineage: Bacteria; Bacillati; Bacillota; Bacilli; Caryophanales; Staphylococcaceae
Description: partial 23S ribosomal RNA
Rfam family: Bacterial large subunit ribosomal RNA
Source: RNAcentral
AUUAGACGAAUCAUCUGGAAAGAUGAAUCAAAGAAGGUAAUAAUCCUGUAGUCGAAAAUGUUGUCUCUCUUGAGUGGAUCCUGAGUACGACGGAGCACGUGAAAUUCCGUCGGAAUCUGGGAGGACCAUCUCCUAAGGCUAAAUACUCUCUAGUGACCGAUAGUGAACCAGUACCGUGAGGGAAAGGUGAAAAGCACCCCGGAAGGGGAGUGAAAUAGAACCUGAAACCGUGUGCUUACAAGUAGUCAGAGCCCGUUAAUGGGUGAUGGCGUGCCUUUUGUAGAAUGAACCGGCGAGUUACGAUUUGAUGCAAGGUUAAGCAGUAAAUGUGGAGCCGUAGCGAAAGCGAGUCUGAAUAGGGCGUUUAGUAUUUGGUCGUAGACCCGAAACCAGGUGAUCUACCCUUGGUCAGGUUGAAGUUCAGGUAACACUGAAUGGAGGACCGAACCGACUUACGUUGAAAAGUGAGCGGAUGAACUGAGGGUAGCGGAGAAAUUCCAAUCGAACCUGGAGAUAGCUGGUUCUCUCCGAAAUAGCUUUAGGGCUAGCCUCAAGUGAUGAUUAUUGGAGGUAGAGCACUGUUUGGACGAGGGGCCCCUCUCGGGUUACCGAAUUCAGACAAACUCCGAAUGCCAAUUAAUUUAACUUGGGAGUCAGAACAUGGGUGAUAAGGUCCGUGUUCGAAAGGGAAACAGCCCAGACCACCAGCUAAGGUCCCAAAAUAUAUGUUAAGUGGAAAAGGAUGUGGCGUUGCCCAGACAACUAGGAUGUUGGCUUAGAAGCAGCCAUCAUUUAAAGAGUGCGUAAUAGCUCACUAGUCGAGUGACACUGCGCCGAAAAU